RNAcentral lists this ribosomal RNA (310 nucleotides) under uncultured soil bacterium. RNAcentral describes it as "bacterial SSU rRNA". It matches the Rfam family "Bacterial small subunit ribosomal RNA", at positions 26 to 318 of the family's 1533-position model. The record is from RNAcentral.
AGAGUGAACGCUGGCGGCAGGCCUAAUACAUGCAAGUCGAACGGCAGCACAGCAGAGCUUGCUCUGUGGGUGGCGAGUGGCGGACGGGUGAGGAAUACAUGGGAAUCUGCCCAGUCGGUGGGGGAUAACGUAUGGAAACGUACGCUAAUACCGCAUGCCGCCCGUUACGGGGGAAAGCCGGGGGACCUUCGGGCCUGGCGCGAUUGGAUGACGCCCAUGUCGGAUUAGCUAGGUUGGACGGGGUAAACGGCCCAACCGAAGGCGACGACUCCGUAGCUGGUCUGGAGAGGAUGAUCACGCCAACGACGUA